RNAcentral lists this ribosomal RNA (407 nucleotides) under Metopograpsus quadridentatus. RNAcentral describes it as "partial 16S large subunit ribosomal RNA". It matches the Rfam family "Bacterial large subunit ribosomal RNA", at positions 1914 to 2597 of the family's 2925-position model. The record is from RNAcentral. Lineage: Eukaryota; Metazoa; Arthropoda; Malacostraca; Decapoda; Grapsidae.
UAAGUUUAAAGGGCCGCGGUAUUUUGACCGUGCAAAGGUAGCAUAAUCACUAGUUUUUUAAUUGGAAUCUCGUAUGAAUGGCUGGACAAAAGAAAGUCUGUCUCUAUAAUAAUUAUUGAAUUUAACUUUUAAGUGAAAAGGCUUAAAUAAUUUGAAAAGACGAUAAGACCCUAUAAAGCAUUUUAUUGGGGCGAUAGAGGUAGAAUUAAUAACUGCUUAGAUUUUAUGACAGUAUAAGUGAAAAGAUCCUAAAUAAAGAUUAAAAGGUUAAGUUACUUUAGGGAUAACAGCGUAAUUCUUUUUGAGAGUUCUUAUCGAAAGAAGAGUUUGCGACCUCGAUGUUGAAUUAAAAGUUCUUUACAAUUGUAGGAGUUGUAAAAGAAGGUCUGUUCGACCUUUAAAUUUUU